RNAcentral lists this ribosomal RNA (373 nucleotides) under uncultured organism. Its description in RNAcentral is "partial 16S ribosomal RNA". It matches the Rfam family "Bacterial small subunit ribosomal RNA", at positions 527 to 896 of the family's 1533-position model. The record is from RNAcentral.
GGAGGGUGCGAGCGUCAAUCGGAAUUACUGGGCGUAAAGCGAGUGCAGGCGGCUGCGUAAGCCGGAUGUGAAAGCCCUGGGCUUAACCUGGGAAUGGCAUUCGAAACUGCGCAGCUAGAGUCUGGUAGAGGGAAGUGGAAUUCCAGGUGUAGCGGUGAAAUGCGUAGAUAUCUGGAGGAACAUCAGUGGCGAAGGCGGCUUCCUGGACCAAGACUGACGCUCAGGCUCGAAAGCGUGGGUAGCAAACAGGAUUAGAUACCCUGGUAGUCCCACGCCCCUAAACGAUGUCAACUAGACGUUGGGUUCAUUAAAGAACUUAGUGUCGAAGCUAACGCGUUAAGUUGACCCGCCUGGGAGUACGGCCGCAAGGUUG